CGGGACACGUGGUAUCCUGUCUGAAUAUGGGGGGACCAUCCUCCAAGGCUAAAUACUCCUGACUGACCGAUAGUGAACCAGUACCGUGAGGGAAAGGCGAAAAGAACCCCGGCGAGGGGAGUGAAAAAGAACCUGAAACCGUGUACGUACAAGCAGUGGGAGCACAGAGCAAUCUGUGUGACUGCGUACCUUUUGUAUAAUGGGUCAGCGACUUAUAUUCUGUAGCAAGGUUAACCGAAUAGGGGAGCCGAAGGGAAACCGAGUCUUAACCGGGCGUUAAGUUGCAGGGUAUAGACCCGAAACCCGGUGAUCUAGCCAUGGGCAGGUUGAAGGUUGGGUAACACUAACUGGAGGACCGAACCGACUAAUGUUGAAAAAUUAGCGGAUGACUUGUGGCUGGGGGUGAAAGGCCAAUCAAACCGGGAGAUAGCUGGUUCUCCCCGAAAGCUAUUUAGGUAGCGCCUCGUGAAUUCAUCUCCGGGGGUAGAGCACUGUUUCGGCAAGGGGGUCAUCCCGACUUACCAACCCGAUGCAAACUGCGAAUACCGGAGAAUGUUAUCACGGGAGACACACGGCGGGUGCUAACGUCCGUCGUGAAGAGGGAAACAACCCAGACCGCCAGCUAAGGUCCCAAAGUCAUGGUUAAGUGGGAAACGAUGUGGGAAGGCCCAGACAGCCAGGAUGUUGGCUUAGAAGCAGCCAUCAUUUAAAGAAAGCGUAAUAGCUCACUGGUCGAGUCGGCCUGCGCGGAAGAUGUAACGGGGCUAAACCAUGCACCGAAGCUGCGGCAGCGACACUGUGUGUUGUUGGGUAGGGGAGCGUUCUGUAAGCCUGUGAAGGUGUGCUGUGAGGCAUGCUGGAGGUAUCAGAAGUGCGAAUGCUGACAUAAGUAACGAUAAAGCGGGUGAAAAGCCCGCUCGCCGGAAGACCAAGGGUUCCUGUCCAACGUUAAUCGGGGCAGGGUGAGUCGACCCCUAAGGCGAGGCCGAAAGGCGUAGUCGAUGGGAAACAGGUUAAUAUUCCUGUACUUGGUGUUACUGCGAAGGGGGGACGGAGAAGGCUAUGUUGGCCGGGCGACGGUUGUCCCGGUUUAAGCGUGUAGGCUGGUUUUCCAGGCAAAUCCGGAAAAUCAAGGCUGAGGCGUGAUGACGAGGCACUACGGUGCUGAAGCAACAAAUGCCCUGCUUCCAGGAAAAGCCUCUAAGCAUCAGGUAACAUCAAAUCGUACCCCAAACCGACACAGGUGGUCAGGUAGAGAAUACCAAGGCGCUUGAGAGAACUCGGGUGAAGGAACUAGGCAAAAUGGUGCCGUAACUUCGGGAGAAGGCACGCUGAUAUGUAGGUGAAGUCCCUCGCGGAUGGAGCUGAAAUCAGUCGAAGAUACCAGCUGGCUGCAACUGUUUAUUAAAAACACAGCACUGUGCAAACACGAAAGUGGACGUAUACGGUGUGACGCCUGCCCGGUGCCGGAAGGUUAAUUGAUGGGGUCAGCGCAAGCGAAGCUCUUGAUCGAAGCCCCGGUAAACGGCGGCCGUAACUAUAACGGUCCUAAGGUAGCGAAAUUCCUUGUCGGGUAAGUUCCGACCUGCACGAAUGGCGUAAUGAUGGCCAGGCUGUCUCCACCCGAGACUCAGUGAAAUUGAACUCGCUGUGAAGAUGCAGUGUACCCGCGGCAAGACGGAAAGACCCCGUGAACCUUUACUAUAGCUUGACACUGAACAUUGAGCCUUGAUGUGUAGGAUAGGUGGGAGGCUUUGAAGUGUGGACGCCAGUCUGCAUGGAGCCGACCUUGAAAUACCACCCUUUAAUGUUUGAUGUUCUAACGUGGACCCGUGAUCCGGGUUGCGGACAGUGUCUGGUGGGUAGUUUGACUGGGGCGGUCUCCUCCUAAAGAGUAACGGAGGAGCACGAAGGUUGGCUAAUCCUGGUCGGACAUCAGGAGGUUAGUGCAAUGGCAUAAGCCAGCUUGACUGCGAGCGUGACGGCGCGAGCAGGUGCGAAAGCAGGUCAUAGUGAUCCGGUGGUUCUGAAUGGAAGGGCCAUCGCUCAACGGAUAAAAGGUACUCCGGGGAUAACAGGCUGAUACCGCCCAAGAGUUCAUAUCGACGGCGGUGUUUGGCACCUCGAUGUCGGCUCAUCACAUCCUGGGGCUGAAGUAGGUCCCAAGGGUAUGGCUGUUCGCCAUUUAAAGUGGUACGCGAGCUGGGUUUAGAACGUCGUGAGACAGUUCGGUCCCUAUCUGCCGUGGGCGCUGGAGAACUGAGGGGGGCUGCUCCUAGUACGAGAGGACCGGAGUGGACGCAUCACUGGUGUU
RNAcentral lists this ribosomal RNA (2314 nucleotides) under Escherichia coli. RNAcentral's name for it is "partial 23S ribosomal RNA". It matches the Rfam family "Bacterial large subunit ribosomal RNA", at positions 418 to 2716 of the family's 2925-position model. The record is from RNAcentral. Lineage: Bacteria; Pseudomonadati; Pseudomonadota; Gammaproteobacteria; Enterobacterales; Enterobacteriaceae.